ACGAACGCUGGCGGCGCGCCUAAUACAUGCAAGUCGAGCGAGAAGACGUAGCAAUACGUUUGUAAAGCGGCGAACGGGUGAGGAAUACAUGGGUAACCUACCCUCGAGUGGGGAAUAACUAGCCGAAAGGUUAGCUAAUACCGCGUACGCUCCUUGGACUUCGGUUCAGGGAGGAAAGCGAUACCGUGGGUAUCGCGCUCUUGGAUGGGCUCAUGUCCUAUCAGCUUGUUGGUGAGGUAACGGCUCACCGAGGCUUCGACGGGUAGCUGGUCUGAGAGGACGAUCAGCCACACUGGCACUGCGACACGGGCCAGACUCCUACGGGAGGCAGCAGUAAGGAAUAUUGCGCAAUGGGUGAAAGCCUGACGCAGCGACGCCGCGUGGGGAUGAAGGUCUUCGGAUUGUAAACCCCUUUCGGGAGGGAAGAUGGAACGAGCAAUCGUUCGGACGGUACCUCCAGAAGCAGCCACGGCUAACUUCGUGCCA
This 486-nucleotide ribosomal RNA is filed under the name uncultured bacterium. RNAcentral's name for it is "bacterial SSU rRNA". It matches the Rfam family "Bacterial small subunit ribosomal RNA", at positions 29 to 510 of the family's 1533-position model. The record is from RNAcentral.